RNAcentral lists this ribosomal RNA (303 nucleotides) under uncultured bacterium. RNAcentral describes it as "partial 16S ribosomal RNA". It matches the Rfam family "Bacterial small subunit ribosomal RNA", at positions 507 to 807 of the family's 1533-position model. The record is from RNAcentral.
AGCAGCAGCCACGGGAAUACAGAGGGUGCAAGCGUUAAUCGGAAUUACUGGGCGUAAAGCGCGCGUAGGUGGUUCGCCAAGUUGGAUGUGAAAUCCCCGGGCUCAACCUGGGAACUGCAUCCAAAACUGGCGAGCUAGAGUAUGGUAGAGGGUGGUGGAAUUUCCUGUGUAGCGGUGAAAUGCGUAGAUAUAGGAAGGAACAUCAGUGGCGAAGGCGACCACCUGGACUGAUACUGACACUGAGGUGCGAAAGCGUGGGGAGCAAACAGGAUUAGAUACCCGCGUAGUCCCUGUCUCUUAUAC